CUGAUGCAGCAACGCCGCGUGAGGGAUGACGGCCUUCGGGUUGUAAACCUCUUUUAGCAGGGAAGAAGCGAAAGUGACGGUACCUGCAGAAAAAGCGCCGGCUAACUACGUGCCAGCAGCCGCGGUAAUACGUAGGGCGCAAGCGUUAUCCGGAAUUAUUGGGCGUAAAGAGCUCGUAGGCGGUUUGUCGCGUCUGCUGUGAAAUCCCGAGGCUCAACCUCGGGUCUGCAGUGGGUACGGGCAGACUAGAGUGCGGUAGGGGAGAUUGGAAUUCCUGGUGUAGCGGUGGAAUGCGCAGAUAUCAGGAGGAACACCGAUGGCGAAGGCAGAUCUCUGGGCCGUAACUGACGCUCAGGAGCGAAAGGGUGGGGAGCAAACAGGCUUAGAUACCCUGGUAGUCCACCCCGUAAACGUUGGGAACUAGUUGUGGGGACCAUUCCACGGUUUCCGUGACGCAGCUGACGCAUUAAGUUCCCCGCCUGGGGAGUACGGCCGCAAGGCUAAUACUCAAAGGAAUUGACGGGGACCCGCACAAGCGGCGGAGCAUGCGGAUUAAUUCAAUGCAACGCGAAGAACCUUACCAAGGCUUGACAUAUACCAGAACGGGCCAGAAAUGGUCAACUCUUUGGACACUC
This 635-nucleotide ribosomal RNA is filed under the name Microbacterium sp. Se2Pw_3336. RNAcentral's name for it is "bacterial SSU rRNA". It matches the Rfam family "Bacterial small subunit ribosomal RNA", at positions 383 to 1029 of the family's 1533-position model. The record is from RNAcentral. Lineage: Bacteria; Bacillati; Actinomycetota; Actinomycetes; Micrococcales; Microbacteriaceae.